Molecule: long non-coding RNA, 202 nt
Filed under: Capsicum annuum
Lineage: Eukaryota; Viridiplantae; Streptophyta; Magnoliopsida; Solanales; Solanaceae
Description: long non-coding RNA (CANN_LNC012469)
Source: RNAcentral
UGAAUUCAAUUAUUGAAACCCCAUUCUUGGUACUAGGCAAACCUCAAAUGCAAAGAAAAAUCAGCCACCCAACCCGAACAUUCCAAGUGAAAACUUCGAUCUCCUUUUCCGACUACUUAACAUAAACUAAACUAAAUUAAACAUAUAUGUGUCUUAAUAUAAGCAUGUCGAUUAAGAGGAAGGUUAGCGUGAAAACAGAGGA